Molecule: ribosomal RNA, 253 nt
Filed under: uncultured bacterium
Lineage: Bacteria
Description: partial 16S ribosomal RNA
Rfam family: Bacterial small subunit ribosomal RNA
Source: RNAcentral
UACGUAGGGCGCAAGCGUUGUCCGGAAUUAUUGGGCGUAAAGAGCUCGUAGGCGGUCUGUCGCGUCUGCUGUGAAAACUCAGGGCUUAACCCUGAGCUUGCAGUGGGUACGGGCAGACUAGAGUGCGGUAGGGGAGACUGGAAUUCCUGGUGUAGCGGUGAAAUGCGCAGAUAUCAGGAGGAACACCGGUGGCGAAGGCGGGUCUCUGGGCCGUAACUGACGCUGAGGAGCGAAAGCAUGGGGAGCGAACAGG